Molecule: ribosomal RNA, 411 nt
Filed under: Tanytarsus mendax
Lineage: Eukaryota; Metazoa; Arthropoda; Insecta; Diptera; Chironomidae
Description: partial 16S ribosomal RNA
Source: RNAcentral
UAGCAUAAUCAUUAGUUUUUUAAUUGAAGACUGGAAUGAAAGGUUUAAUAAGAAAUAUUCUUUAUUUAUAAAAAAUUAUUGAAUUUGUUUUUUUAGUAAAAAAACUAAAAUUAAAAAAAAAGACGAUAAGACCCUAUAAAGCUUUAUAAAAAUAAAAUUAGAUUUUAUUUGGAAUAUUUUUAUUUUUAAUUUUUAUUUAUUAAAUUGGGGUGAUUUUAAGAUUUAAUAAACUCUUAAAAAAUUUUUUAAUUAUAUUUAAUUUUAAUUUUGAUCUUAAUAAUUUUUUAGAUUAAAAAAUUAAGUUACUUUAGGGAUAACAGCGUAAUUUUUUUAAAGAGUUCAAAUCGAUAAAAAAGAUUGCGACCUCGAUGUUGAAUUAAGAAAAAUUUUGGGUGUAGAAGUUCAAAUUUU